GUAUUCCUUGACAAUCAUUUUUAGGACUUGUUGAUCAAUCGUUUUACGACGUGAGGAACCCAAUGGCUUUGAAAAAUAAAGAAGAUUGAAAUGGAAUUUCUGAAGACACGGCAGUUUGGCAAUUUAUGGGAUUAGAUUUUGAAACAGUUGUACUCUAAAAAUAUAUAUGUUUACAUUUAGUAGUAUAAAUAUUUACUUAUUUUUCUACUGUAUGUAUAAAUUAAUUAAUAAUAAUCAAAUAUUAAAUAUGAGAA
Long non-coding RNA from Daktulosphaira vitifoliae (grape phylloxera), 254 nucleotides. RefSeq lists it as uncharacterized. The record is from RefSeq and is a predicted model, not a curated record. NCBI's taxonomy places the organism in Eukaryota, Metazoa, Arthropoda, Insecta, Hemiptera, Phylloxeridae. The transcript has 2 exons.